UCCCUGGUGGUCUAGUGGUUAGGAUUCAGCAUUCUCACUGCCAUGACCUGGGCUUGAUUCCAAGUCAGGGAA
This 72-nucleotide transfer RNA is filed under the name Ovis aries (sheep). It matches the Rfam family "tRNA". Rfam says of the family: Transfer RNA (tRNA) molecules are approximately 80 nucleotides in length. Their secondary structure includes four short double-helical elements and three loops (D, anti-codon, and T loops). Further hydrogen bonds mediate the characteristic L-shaped molecular structure. tRNAs have two regions of fundamental functional importance: the anti-codon, which is responsible for specific mRNA codon recognition, and the 3' end, to which the tRNAs corresponding amino acid is attached (by aminoacyl-tRNA synthetases). tRNAs cope with the degeneracy of the genetic code in two manners: having more than one tRNA (with a specific anti-codon) for a particular amino acid; and 'wobble' base-pairing, i.e. permitting non-standard base-pairing at the 3rd anti-codon position. Lineage: Eukaryota; Metazoa; Chordata; Mammalia; Artiodactyla; Bovidae. The record is from Rfam by way of RNAcentral.